This 1867-nucleotide ribosomal RNA is filed under the name human gut metagenome. Its description in RNAcentral is "bacterial LSU rRNA". It matches the Rfam family "Bacterial large subunit ribosomal RNA", at positions 979 to 2925 of the family's 2925-position model. The record is from RNAcentral.
AGCAGUCAGACAGUGUGAGAUAAGUUUCAUUGUCAAAAGGGAAACAGCCCAGACCCACAGCUAAGGUCCCAAAUGUAUGUUAAGUGGAAAAGGAUGUCCAGUUGCACAAACAACCAGGAUGUUGGCUUAGAAGCAGCCACACAUUCAAAGAGUGCGUAACAGCUCACUGGUCGAGUGACCGGGCGCCGAAAAUGUAACGGGGCUAAACAUACAACCGAAGCUUGGGCUGCACAGCAAUGUGCGGGGUAGGGGAGCGUUGUGUGUGGGGAGAAGCACGAGCGGAAGCGCGUGUGGACUGCACAGAAGUGAGAAUGCCGGAAUGAGUAGCGCGAAUUAUGUGAGAAUCAUAAUGGCCGAAAGCCUAAGGUUUCUGGAGGAAGGUUCGUCCGCUCCAGGUUAGCCGGGAGCUAAGGUGAGGCCGAAAGGCGUAGCCGAUGCACAUACGGUGGAGAUUCCGUAGCCAUCAAAAGAUUUAAGCAGAGGGACACAGUAGAAGGGUACAUGCCGGGCGUUGGUAGCCCCGGUUGUAAGGGACCGAAAUUAGAGUAGGGAAGAUGGACUUGGAUACUGGCGAGAAAAGCUCUGUGGAUAUCUGCGAUGCCCGUACCGCAAACCGACACAGGUAGGUAGGAAGAGGAUUCUAAGGCCAACGGGAGAAGGGUUGUUAAGGAACUCGGCAAGUUGACCCCGUAACUUCGGGAGAAGGGGUGCUCUGGAAACAGAGCCGCAGAGAAUAGGUCCAGGCAACUGUUUAGCAAAAACACAGCUCUCUGCUAAAUCGAAAGAUGAUGUAUAGGGGGUGACGCCUGCCCGGUGCUGGAAGGUUAAGAGGAGGAGUGAGAGCCCCGAAUCGAAGCCCCAGUAAACGGCGGCCGUAACUAUAACGGUCCUAAGGUAGCGAAAUUCCUUGUCAGGUAAGUUCUGACCCGCACGAAAGGCGUAAUGAUCUGGACACUGUCUCAACAGCCCACCCGGCGAAAUUGUAGUACCGGUGAAGAUGCCGGUUACCCGCGACAAGACGGAAAGACCCCAUGGAGCUUUACUGCAGCCUAAUAUUGGAUUUCGGUAUUUCAUGUACAGGAUAGGUGGGAGACUGGGAAACACAGGCGUCAGCUUGUGCGGAGUCGCCCUUGGGAUACCACCCUUGAAGUGCUGGAAUUCUAACCUGUGGCCAUGAAUCUGGUCAGGGGACAUUGUUAGGCGGGCAGUUUGACUGGGGCGGUCGCCUCCAAAAGAGUAACGGAGGCGCUCAAAGGUUCGUUCAGCACGGACGGAAAUCGUGCAUUGAGUGUAAACGCAUAAACGAGCCUAACUGCGAGACCGACGGGUCGAGCAGUAACGAAAGUUGGAGUUAGUGAUCCGGUGGUAUGUGAGUGGAAAUGCCAUCGCUCAACGGAUAAAAGCUACCCUGGGGAUAACAGGCUGAUCUCCCCCAAGAGUCCACAUCGACGGGGAGGUUUGGCACCUCGAUGUCGGCUCAUCGCAUCCUGGGGCUGUAUUCGGUCCCAAGGGUUUGGCUGUUCGCCAAUUAAAGCGGUACGCGAGCUGGGUUCAGAACGUCGUGAGACAGUUCGGUCCCUAUCUGUCGUGGGCGCAGGAUAUUUGAAAGGAGCUGUCCCUAGUACGAGAGGACCGGGAUGGACGCACCUCUGGUGCACCAGUUGUCACGCCAGUGGCACAGCUGGGCAGCUAUGUGCGGAUCGGAUAAACGCUGAAGGCAUCUAAGCGUGAAACCGGCCUUAAGAUAAGAUAUCCCACUGAGUCAAUCAGGUAAGACCCCUUGAAGACUACAAGGUAGAUAGGCACAAUGUGUAAGCAUGGUGACAUGUUAAGCUAGCGUGUACUAAUCGGUCGAGGGCUUGACCAA